This 381-nucleotide long non-coding RNA is filed under the name Bos indicus x Bos taurus (hybrid cattle). RNAcentral describes it as "lncRNA (ENSBIXG00005008119.1)". The record is from RNAcentral. Lineage: Eukaryota; Metazoa; Chordata; Mammalia; Artiodactyla; Bovidae.
CUUCAUCUCUGAGCACAAGGCCUGGAGAAGGAAGUGGCAACCCACUCCAGUAUCCUUGCCUGGAGAAUCCAUGGACAGAGGAGCCUGGUGGGCUACAGUCCAUGGGGUCUCAAGAAUCGGACACGACUGAGCAACUCAACCACCUCCAGCUGAGCACCAGCUCAUAGUAUUUCCAGCUAAACUGGCAGAGAUCAAAGGAGCUGGAAUUAAUUCAGUGAAGCAGAAUGAAUGCAAGUGAGAAGAUCAAGAUGAAGAUCAACAGCCAAACAAAUAUCAGAAGUAUUGUGAGAGAGACAAAAGUGAAAACAUCCAUUCUGAUGGAAAGAAAAAUGUUGGACACACAAGAAUAAAUGACAAAGGAAAGGAAAAAAUGUAGAGCUG